UGUUUCUUUGUUACUAGCAAU
This 21-nucleotide non-coding RNA is filed under the name Caenorhabditis elegans. The record is from RNAcentral. Lineage: Eukaryota; Metazoa; Nematoda; Chromadorea; Rhabditida; Rhabditidae.